Molecule: ribosomal RNA, 466 nt
Filed under: uncultured bacterium
Lineage: Bacteria
Description: partial 16S ribosomal RNA
Rfam family: Bacterial small subunit ribosomal RNA
Source: RNAcentral
GACGAACGCUGGCGGCGUGCUUAACACAUGCAAGUCGAACGGAAAGGCUCCAGCUUGCUGGAGUACUCGAGUGGCGAACGGGUGAGUAACACGUGGGUAAUCUGCCCUGCACUCUGGGAUAAGCCUGGGAAACUGGGUCUAAUACUGGAUAUGACCUUUCUCCUUAUGGGGUUUGGUGGAAAGUUUUUCGGUGUAGGAUGAGCCCGCGGCCUAUCAGCUUGUUGGUGGGGUGAUGGCCUACCAAGGCGACGACGGGUAGCCGGCCUGAGAGGGUGAUCGGCCACAUUGGGACUGAGAUACGGCCCAGACUCCUACGGGAGGCAGCAGUGGGGAAUAUUGCACAAUGGGCGGAAGCCUGAUGCAGCGACGCCGCGUGAGGGAUGACGGCCUUCGGGUUGUAAACCUCUUUCAGCAGGGACGAAGCGUAAGUGACGGGACCUGCAGAAGAAGCACCGGCUAACUACGU